CUAUCCAUGGCCAGGUUGAAGGUGUGGUAACACACACUGGAGGACCGAACCGACUAGUGUUGCAAAAUUAGCGGAUGAGCUGUGGAUAGGGGUGAAAGGCUAAACAAAUCUGGAGAUAGCUGGUUCUCCCCGAAAACUAUUGAGGUAGUGCCUCGUGUAUUGCUCCAGGGGGUAGAGCACUGUUAUGGCUAGGGGGACAUGGCGUCUUACCAAACCAUGGCAAACUCCGAAUACUUGGAAGUUUGAGCACGGGAGACAGAGCACCGGGUGCUAACGUCCGGACUCAAGAGGGAAACAACCCAGACCGCCGGCUAAGGUCCCUAAUAUUGACUAAGUGGAAAACGAAGUGGAAAGGCUAAGACAGUCAGGAAGUUGGCUUAGAAGCAGCCAUCCUUCAAAGAAAGCGUAAUAGCUCACUGAUCGAGUCCUCAUGCGCGGAAGAUGUAACGGGGCUAAGUCAAUAACCGAAGCCGCGGAUUCACACUUGUGUGUGAGUGGUAGGGGAGCGUUCUGUAAGCCUGCGAAGGUGACUCGUAAGGGUUGCUGGAGGUAUCAGAAGUGCGAAUGCUGACAUGAGUAACGUUAAAGCGGGUGAAAAGCCCGCUCGCCGUAAGCCCAAGGUUUCCUGCUCUACGUUCAUCGGAGCAGGGUGAGUCGGCCCCUAAGGUGAGGCUGAGAAGCGUAACUGAUGGGAACAAGGUUAAUAUUCCUUGACCACCGCUGAAUGCGAAGGGGGGACGGAGUAUUGAAGAUCAUCCGGGUGUUGGAUAUCCCGGUUUGCGAGCGUAGGAGGCUGACAGGCAAAUCCGUCAGCGGAUCUCCGAGGCAAAGCAUCGAGCUCUCUUUUGAGCGAAGUGAUUGGAUGUGCUUCCAGGAAAAGCCUCUAAGCUCCAGUUCAGCGGGACCGUACCGCAAACCGACACUGGUGGGCGAGCUGAAUAUGCUCAGGCGCUUGAGAGAACUCAGGAGAAGGAACUCGGCAAAUUGACACCGUAACUUCGGGAUAAGGUGUGCCUUUGUAGCGUGGAGGGAGAAACACCCCGAGCGCGAAGAGGUCUCAGAUAAUCGGUGGCUGCGACUGUUUAUUAAAAACACAGCACUCUGCAAAGACGAAAGUCGACGUAUAGGGUGUGAUGCCUGCCCGGUGCUGGAAGAUUAAUUGAUGGGGUGCAAGCUCCUGAUCGAAGUCCCAGUAAACGGCGGCCGUAACUAUAACGGUCCUAAGGUAGCGAAAUUCCUUGUCGGGUAAGUUCCGACCUGCACGAAUGGCGUAACGAUGGCCACACUGUCUCCUCCCGAGACUCAGUGAAGUUGAAAUGUUUGUGAUGAUGCAAUCUCCCCGCGGCUAGACGGAAAGACCCCAUGAACCUUUACUGUAGCUUUGCAUUGGACUUUGAACCGAUCUGUGUAGGAUAGGCGGGAGCCUGUGAAACCACAACGCCAGUUGUGGCGGAGGCGUCCUUGAAAUACCGCCCUGAUUUGUUUGAGGUUCUAACCUGGGACAGUCAUCCUGUCCGGGGACCGUGCAUGGUAGGCAGUUUGACUGGGGCGGUCUCCUCCUAAAGGGUAACGGAGGAGUGCGAAGGUACGCUAGGUACGGUCGGAAAUCGUGCUGAUAGUGCAAUGGCAAAAGCGUGCUUGACUGCGAGACCCACAAGUCGAGCAGAUACGAAAGUAGGUCAUAGUGAUCCGGUGGCUCUGUAUGGAAGGGCCAUCGCUCAACGGAUAAAAGGUACUCUGGGGAUAACAGGCUGAUACCGCCCAAGAGUUCAUAUCGACGGCGGUGUUUGGCAC
RNAcentral lists this ribosomal RNA (1794 nucleotides) under metagenome. RNAcentral describes it as "bacterial LSU rRNA". It matches the Rfam family "Bacterial large subunit ribosomal RNA", at positions 730 to 2524 of the family's 2925-position model. The record is from RNAcentral.